Molecule: ribosomal RNA, 921 nt
Filed under: uncultured bacterium
Lineage: Bacteria
Description: bacterial SSU rRNA
Rfam family: Bacterial small subunit ribosomal RNA
Source: RNAcentral
ACGCUAGCUAUAGGCUUAACACAUGCAAGUCGAGGGGAAACGGCAUUAUGUGCUUGCACAUUUUGGACGUCAACCGGCGCACGGGUGAGUAUCGCGUAUCCAACCUGCCCUUUACUUGGGGAUACCCCGUUGAAAGACGGCCUAAUACCCGAUGUAAUUCAUUGAUGGCAUCAGAUAUGAAUAAAAGAUUUAUCGGUAAAGGAUGGGGAUGCGUCUGAUUAGCUUGUUGGUGAGGUAACGGCUCACCAAGGCGACGAUCAGUAGGGGUUCUGAGAGGAAGGUCCCCCACAUUGGAACUGAGACACGGUCCAAACUCCUACGGGAGGCAGCAGUGAGGAAUAUUGGUCAAUGGACGGAAGUCUGAACCAGCCGAGUAGCGUGCAGGAAGACGGCCCUAUGGGUUGUAAACUGCUUUUAUACGAGAAUAAUUUGAUGCACGUGUGCGUUAUUGCAUGUAUCGUAUGAAUAAGGACCGGCUAAUUCCGUGCCAGCAGCCGCGGUAAUACGGAAGGUCCAGGCGUUAUCCGGAUUUAUUGGGUUUAAAGGGAGUGUAGGCGGUUUGUUAAGCGUGUUGUGAAAUUUAGAUGCUCAACAUUUAACUUGCAGCGCGAACUGUCAGACUUGAGUACACGCAACGUAUGCGGAAUUCAUGGUGUAGCGGUGAAAUGCUUAGAUAUCAUGAAGAACUCCGAUUGCGAAGGCAGCAUACGGGAGUGUAACUGACGCUUAAGCUCGAAGGUGCGGGUAUCGAACAGGAUUAGAUACCCUGGUAGUCCGCACAGUAAACGAUGGAUGCCCGCUGUUAGCGCCUGGCGUUAGCGGCUAAGCGAAAGCAUUAAGCAUCCCACCUGGGGAGUACGCCGGCAACGGUGAAACUCAAAGGAAUUGACGGGGGCCCGCACAAGCGAGGAACAUGUGGUU